AAGGGAAUCCGGUGCGAGACCGGGACUGCCCCGCAGCGGUGAGUGGGAACGACGACUGCAAGAGCGCACUGGGAACGGCGCCGGACCUCGAUCCGGCGGUGAACGGUUCCUGGGAAGCGGUAGUCGGUAGGCCGAACGGGCCCGGUGAUCCGGCCCGCUGCCCACGAGUCCGAAAACCU
RNAcentral lists this non-coding RNA (179 nucleotides) under Microlunatus soli. Lineage: Bacteria; Bacillati; Actinomycetota; Actinomycetes; Propionibacteriales; Propionibacteriaceae. The record is from RNAcentral.